This 381-nucleotide ribosomal RNA is filed under the name uncultured Bacillaceae bacterium. RNAcentral describes it as "bacterial SSU rRNA". It matches the Rfam family "Bacterial small subunit ribosomal RNA", at positions 107 to 484 of the family's 1533-position model. Lineage: Bacteria; Bacillati; Bacillota; Bacilli; Caryophanales; Bacillaceae. The record is from RNAcentral.
UGAGUAACACGUGGGUAACCUGCCUGUAAGACUGGGAUAACUCCGGGACCCCGGGGCUAAUACCGGAUAACUUCUUUCUUCGCAUGGAGAAAGAUUGAAAGAUGGCUUCGGCUAUCACUUACAGAUGGACCCGCGGCGCAUUAGCUAGUUGGUGAGGUAACGGCUCACCAAGGCAACGAUGCGUAGCCGACCUGAGAGGGUGAUCGGCCACACUGGGACUGAGACACGGCCCAGACUCCUACGGGAGGCAGCAGUAGGGAAUCUUCCGCAAUGGACGAAAGUCUGACGGAGCAACGCCGCGUGAGUGAUGAAGGUUUUCGGAUCGAAAAACUCUGUUGUUAGGGAAGAACUAGUACCGUUCGAAUAGGGCGGUACCUUGAC